RNAcentral lists this ribosomal RNA (913 nucleotides) under uncultured marine archaeon. Its description in RNAcentral is "bacterial SSU rRNA". It matches the Rfam family "Archaeal small subunit ribosomal RNA", at positions 1 to 922 of the family's 1478-position model. The record is from RNAcentral.
UCCGGUUGAUCCCGCCGGACCUGACUGCUAUCGGAUUGAUACUAAGCCAUGCGAGUCAUUGUAGCAAUACAAGGCAUACGGCUCAGUAACGCGUAGUCAACCUAACCUAUGGACGGGAAUAACCUCGGGAAACUGAGAAUAAUGCCCGAUAGAACAUUAUGCCUGGAAUGGCUUAUGUUCCAAAUGAUUUAUCGCCGUAGGAUGGGACUGCGGCCUAUCAGUUUGUUGGUGAGGUAAUGGCCCACCAAGACUAUUACAGGUACGGGCUCUGAGAGGAGUAGCCCGGAGAUGGGUACUGAGACACGGACCCAGGCCCUAUGGGGCGCAGCAGGCGAGAAAACUUUGCAAUGUGCGAAAGCACGACAAGGUUAAUCCGAGUGAUUUGUGCUAAACGAAUCUUUUGUUAGUCCUAGAACCACUAACGAAUAAGGGGUGGGCAAGUUCUGGUGUCAGCCGCCGCGGUAAAACCAGCACCUCAAGUGGUCAGGAUGAUUAUUGGGCCUAAAGCAUCCGUAGCCGGCUCUGUAAGUUUUCGGUUAAAUCUGUACGCUUAACGUACAGGCUGCCGGGAAUACUGCAGAGCUAGGGAGUGGGAGAGGUAGACGGUACUCGGUAGGAAGGGGUAAAAUCCUUUGAUCUAUUGAUGACCACCUGUGGCGAAGGCGGUCUACCAGAACACGUCCGACGGUGAGGGAUGAAAGCUGGGGGAGCAAACCGGAUUAGAUACCCGGGUAGUCCCAGCUGUAAACUAUGCAAACUCAGUGAUGCAUUGGCUUGUGGCCAAUGCAGUGCUGCAGGGAAGCCGUUAAGUUUGCCGCCUGGGAAGUACGUACGCAAGUAUGAAACUUAAAGGAAUUGGCGGGGGAGCACCACAAGGGGUGAAGCCUGCGGUUCAAUUGGAUUCAACGCCGGA